AAGGGAUUCGAUUAAGUAGAUCAAAUAAUCUUCAAAAUUAUUAGUACUGGUUCGAAUCCAGUAUCCCUUG
RNAcentral lists this transfer RNA (70 nucleotides) under Ectopleura larynx. Its description in RNAcentral is "tRNA-Trp". It matches the Rfam family "tRNA". From Rfam's summary of the family: Transfer RNA (tRNA) molecules are approximately 80 nucleotides in length. Their secondary structure includes four short double-helical elements and three loops (D, anti-codon, and T loops). Further hydrogen bonds mediate the characteristic L-shaped molecular structure. tRNAs have two regions of fundamental functional importance: the anti-codon, which is responsible for specific mRNA codon recognition, and the 3' end, to which the tRNAs corresponding amino acid is attached (by aminoacyl-tRNA synthetases). tRNAs cope with the degeneracy of the genetic code in two manners: having more than one tRNA (with a specific anti-codon) for a particular amino acid; and 'wobble' base-pairing, i.e. permitting non-standard base-pairing at the 3rd anti-codon position. The record is from RNAcentral. Lineage: Eukaryota; Metazoa; Cnidaria; Hydrozoa; Anthoathecata; Tubulariidae.